RNAcentral lists this ribosomal RNA (495 nucleotides) under uncultured bacterium. RNAcentral describes it as "bacterial SSU rRNA". It matches the Rfam family "Bacterial small subunit ribosomal RNA", at positions 28 to 526 of the family's 1533-position model. The record is from RNAcentral.
GAUGUACGCUGGCGGCGUGCUUAACACAUGCAAGUCGAACGAGGAACACUGAUGAAGUUUUCGGAUGAAUUCGGUAUUCCGAGUGGCGGACGGGUGAGUAACGCGUGGGUAACCUGCCCUGUACAGGGGGAUAACAGUUGGAAACGACUGUUAAUACCGCAUAAGACCACAGCACCGCAUGGUGCAGGGGUAAAAACUCCGGUGGUACAGGAUGGACCCGCGUCCAAUUAGCUAGUUGGUGAGGUAACGGCCCACCAAGGCGACGAUUGGUAGCCGAUCUGAGAGGAUGACCGGCCACAUUGGGACUGAGACACGGCCCAAACUCCUACGGGAGGCAGCAGUGGGGAAUAUUGCACAAUGGGGGAAACCCUGAUGCAGCGACGCCGCGUGAGUGAUGAAGUAUUUCGGUAUGUAAAGCUCUAUCAGCAGGGAAGAAAAUGACGGUACCUGAGUAAGAAGCCCCGGCUAACUACGUGCCAGCCGCCGCAGUAAUAC